This is an RNA transcript of Vidua macroura (Pin-tailed whydah), 1752 nucleotides long. RefSeq lists it as uncharacterized. The record is from RefSeq and is a predicted model, not a curated record. Lineage: Eukaryota; Metazoa; Chordata; Aves; Passeriformes; Viduidae. The transcript is spliced from 6 exons.
ACUGGGAGAAAGCAUUGCUAUUAUGAGACCUAGCUAAGUUCCUGCAAGUUGCAGCAUUUCCUGCAAGUGAAAAUGCAGUUUCUUGCGACAUUACGUUGCAUUUAAAAUGGGAGGAGCCAGUGGAAUGGCUUUUUCUCUGAGAUCCCAUUGAUUUCUCAUUUCCUCUGGAAGAGGAGCUGAAUGGUUUGGGAUCUGGAAAAGCUGCACAGGCACUUGGAGAAGGGAAGAGGCAUGAAGGCUUCCUUGGACACAAACAGCUUCUGAGGGAGAAGACUGAGGGAGAAGCCUGCCCUGGCACUGUGGAGGCCUCUGGGCAGCCCCAUGGACUCUCCCCACCUCCUGCACGUGGGUUUCCUGCUCCUGGCUCUUGCUGCUCCCUGUCCAAGUAUUGCCAUGGCCAAUGCUGGCCCUGCUAACAGGACACAAGGCAGCAGAAAUACGACAGUCUACUACUGCAAGGACUAUAAAAACUGCACAUGCAAGAAAGACCAAAAUGAUUUUAAAAACUUUGAAAGAAUUACCAAAAUACAAAAGAAGAUAAAUACUAUUCCAGCAAAUGACCAACAAAUGACUCACAAAUCACACAUCACUGUUUGCUUUGAGCGAGCAAAUUCCUCUCUUGAAGGAAUUUAUGGCCUCUCCUCAUACGAAACUCAACAACCAAAAAUCUGGUGUGGCAUCCUGAAUUUUGGAGAAAAUGGAGGAGGUAACAUCAGUACUGAGGAGAAGAAUGUUUGCUGUGAAGCAGAGGCAGUUGUCUGGAAUCACAACCCUCACCUGAAGUGCUACAUUCAAAAGUCACAUCCAAAAUCCACUGCACUGCCAGUUGCCAUUCCUGGUGAGGGAAUUCCAGAUGGGGCCAGUUCCUUUGUGUGGUGCUUACGAGACAGCUCAUGGCUUAGCCCUCCUGCUUGCUUCACUUGGAUGCUCUGUUUUCUUCUACUCUGCAGGUAAUCCUGAAUUUCUCACCAGCAAAAAGAGCAGCCUUGAAAUCUUGUUGGCAUUCCUGUUUGUUGGGGUUUGCACAGGAUGGGGCACCAUGUUUUACUUCUUGCGGCUGCGGCGUCGCCAAGCUUUUAAGCAAGACAGACAGGCUUCUGACAGAGAAAAGCUCACCCAUUCGUGAUAACCAUCUACAAAGGAGAAAACCUCUCUGCCAGCAGCAUCCUCCUCCUCUCUCAUGAUGUACAGCAACCAGCGGAAUGCAGACUGAUUUUCCAUGAGAACUCCUGUGUUGGGGAAGAUGAAAUAGGAAAGCCUUAUAAAUAUGAUUGCCUGGCAAAAGAUUCGGAAAAUACAGAAACUAUGAAUGAGAUUGAGAUGAGAACUAGUUUUGAGAUACCAAAUCUUAGUUACUGAACAACUAGAAACCAAUAGAUUAGCCAGCUGUAGGCAAUCCCCCCUUUGAUUAAACAAUGUCCUCUACCUACAGACAGCUCCAAAGGUCAAAUGGAAUGUUCUGUCUCACCCCUCAAAAUGUAUGGCUCAUCCCACACCUGUAACCCUCCCCUGAAGCAUCAGGUAUCUGUGAUCCCAUUGGCCCAAGUCUUGUUCCGUGCCCACUCUGAAACCCCUGAUAAGGUGUGCCCGGGGGACCCGAGGCUCUCUUGGAACCCUCUCUUGGCAUCGUCUCCUGCCCCCACUGCCUCUCUUUCUCCCUCCCUGUCUCUCCCUGCCCUCACUCCCUGGGGCCUGACACGAACUGCAGCUGGCAGCUCCAAACAGGGCCCCACACCCUUUCCAGGACCUGAC